Molecule: ribosomal RNA, 102 nt
Filed under: Sutcliffiella horikoshii
Lineage: Bacteria; Bacillati; Bacillota; Bacilli; Caryophanales; Bacillaceae
Description: Bacillus horikoshii partial 23S ribosomal RNA
Rfam family: Bacterial large subunit ribosomal RNA
Source: RNAcentral
CGGUUAAGUUAUUAAGGGCGCACGGUGGAUGCCUUGGCACUAGGAGCCGAUGAAGGACGGGACUAACACCGAUAUGCUUCGGGGAGCUGUAAGUAAGCUUUG